Molecule: ribosomal RNA, 445 nt
Filed under: uncultured bacterium
Lineage: Bacteria
Description: bacterial SSU rRNA
Rfam family: Bacterial small subunit ribosomal RNA
Source: RNAcentral
CCAGACUCCUACGGGAGGCAGCAGUGGGGAAUAUUGCACAAUGGGGGAAACCCUGAUGCAGCAACGCCGCGUGAGUGACGAAGGUUUUCGGAUUGUAAAGCUCUGUUAGCAGGGAAGAGGAAGGACGGUACCUGCAGAGGAAGCCACGGCUAACUACGUGCCAGCAGCCGCGGUAAUACGUAGGGAGCAAGCGUUAUCCGGAUUUAUUGGGUGUAAAGGGUGCGUAGACGGGAAAUUAAGUUAGUUGUGAAAUCCCUCGGCUCAACUGAGGAACUGCAACUAAAACUGAUUUUCUUGAGUGCAGGAGAGGUAAGUGGAAUUCCUAGUGUAGCGGUGAAAUGCGUAGAUAUUAGGAGGAACACCAGUGGCGAAGGCGACUUACUGGACUGUAACUGACGUUGAGGCACGAAAGUGUGGGGAGCAAACAGGAUUAGAUACCCCUGUA